CUUGGUCAUUUAGAGGAAGUAAAAGUCGUAACAAGGUUUCCGUAGGUGAACCUGCGGAAGGAUCAUUAAUGAGUUGUGAUGGGGUUUGAUGCUGGCAGCCAAAAUUUGGAUGCAUGUGCUUGCCCUAACACAAUCAUCUUCCAAACACCUGUGCACAUUUUGAGGGAGUUCUGAGUUGAUUUGCCACUUUGUGGUGAUUUUCUUGUAUUCCCUUAAAUCAUUAUACGCUGUUAACAAAUGCUGGACGUGCUUUGUGCCGCAAGGCCUUUAAUAUAAUACAACUUUUAACAACGGAUCUCUUGGCUCUCGCAUCGAUGAAGGACGCAGCGAAAUGCGAUAAGUAAUGUGAAUUGCAGAAUUCAGUGAAUCAUCGAAUCUUUGAACGCACCUUGCGCCUCUUGGCAUUCCGAGAGGCACACCCGUUUGAGCGUCGUGACAUCCUCAACCUUUCUCGAUCCUUUUGCGACCGAGGAAGGCUUGGACUUUGGGGGAUAUGCUGGCUUCCUCCUUCGAAGCCAGCUCCCCUUAAACGGAUUAGUGGGUUUCGCUUCGCCGAUCCUCGACGUUGAUAAGAUGCUUCUACGUCUUGGGCUUAGUCGGACGCCUGCUUCUAACCGUCUCGAAAGGAGAGACAAACGCGAUCGUUCGAAAUUUGACCUCAAAUCGGGUGAGACUACCCGCUGGACUUAAGCAUAUCAAUAAGCGGAG
This 708-nucleotide ribosomal RNA is filed under the name uncultured Russula. Its description in RNAcentral is "eukaryotic LSU rRNA". The stretch from base 280 to 433 matches the Rfam family "5.8S ribosomal RNA". The record is from RNAcentral. Lineage: Eukaryota; Fungi; Basidiomycota; Agaricomycetes; Russulales; Russulaceae.